AGUGGGAUAGCUGGGUCAAAUGGUGGUUUCAUUCCAAGUCUUUUGAGGAAUCUCCAUUCUACUUUCUAGAUUGGUUCCAUCAAUUUGCAGUCCCAUCAGCAAU
Molecule: microRNA precursor, 103 nt
Filed under: Marmota monax (woodchuck)
Lineage: Eukaryota; Metazoa; Chordata; Mammalia; Rodentia; Sciuridae
Source: RNAcentral